This 377-nucleotide ribosomal RNA is filed under the name Cytauxzoon sp. 7 cat/Italy/2010. Its description in RNAcentral is "SSU rRNA". It matches the Rfam family "Eukaryotic small subunit ribosomal RNA", at positions 476 to 890 of the family's 1831-position model. Lineage: Eukaryota; Apicomplexa; Aconoidasida; Piroplasmida; Theileriidae. RNAcentral also lists the same sequence under 1 other name. The record is from RNAcentral.
AAUAACAAUACGAGUCUUAAAGUCUUGUAAUUGGAAUGACGGGAAUCUAAAACCUUUCCGGAGUAUCAAUUGGAGGGCAAGUCUGGUGCCAGCAGCCGCGGUAAUUCCAGCUCCAAUAGCGUAUAUUAAAAUUGUUGCAGUUAAAAAGCUCGUAGUUGAAUUUCUGCUGCAUCCGUGUCAUUCCUAACUGGUUUGUCACUGUUGUGGCUUUUUCUGGUGGUUGUGCUUCGGCUAGAUCUCCAGAUUGUUACUUUGAGAAAAUUAGAGUGCUUCAAGCAGGCUUUUGCCUUGAAUACUUUAGCAUGGAAUAACUAAGUAGGACUUUGGUUCUAUUUUGUUGGUUUAAGAGCCAAAGUAAUGUAGCCCCCACUCCGAUA